GAUGAACGCUAGCGGCAGGCUUAACACAUGCAAGUCGAGGGGUAACAGGGUGCUUGCACCGCUGACGACCGGCGCACGGGUGCGUAACGCGUAUAGAACCUACCUUUUACAGGAGAAUACCCCAGAGAAAUUUGGAAUAAUGCUCCAUAGUAUUAUUGAAUGGCAUCAUUUGAUAAUUAAACAUUUAUGGGUAAAAGAUGGCUAUGCGUUCUAUUAGCUAGAUGGUAAGGUAACGGCUUACCAUGGCAACGAUAGAUAGGGGUCCUGAGAGGGAGAUCCCCCACACUGGUACUGAGACACGGACCAGACUCCUACGGGAGGCAGCAGUGAGGAAUAUUGGACAAUGGAGGCAACUCUGAUCCAGCCAUGCCGCGUGCAGGAAGACGGUCCUAUGGAUUGUAAACUGCUUUUAUACAGGAAGAAACACUCCCUCGUGAGGGAGCUUGACGGUACUGUAUGAAUAAGCACCGGCUAACUCCGUGCCAGCAGCCGCGGUAAUACGGAGGGUGCAAGCGUUAUCCGGAAUCAUUGGGUUUAAAGGGUCCGUAGGCGGGCUAAUAAGUCAGGGGUGAAAUCCAACAGCUUAACUGUUGAAUUGCCUUUGAUACUGUUAGUCUUGAGUUAUAUGGAAGUAGAUAGAAUGUGUAGUGUAGCGGUGAAAUGCUUAGAGAUUACACAGAAUACCGAUUGCGAAGGCAGUCUACUACGUAUAUACU
RNAcentral lists this ribosomal RNA (716 nucleotides) under Lutibacter sp. RNAcentral's name for it is "bacterial SSU rRNA". It matches the Rfam family "Bacterial small subunit ribosomal RNA", at positions 28 to 741 of the family's 1533-position model. The record is from RNAcentral. Lineage: Bacteria; Pseudomonadati; Bacteroidota; Flavobacteriia; Flavobacteriales; Flavobacteriaceae.